This 87-nucleotide transfer RNA is filed under the name Vibrio cholerae. RNAcentral's name for it is "tRNA-Leu(taa)". It matches the Rfam family "tRNA". From Rfam's summary of the family: Transfer RNA (tRNA) molecules are approximately 80 nucleotides in length. The record is from RNAcentral. Lineage: Bacteria; Pseudomonadati; Pseudomonadota; Gammaproteobacteria; Vibrionales; Vibrionaceae.
GCCCUGGUGGUGAAAUCGGUAGACACAAGGGAUUUAAAAUCCCUCGACUUUCGAGNCGUGCCGGUUCAAGUCCGGCCCGGGGCACCA